RNAcentral lists this ribosomal RNA (466 nucleotides) under uncultured bacterium. Its description in RNAcentral is "partial 16S ribosomal RNA". It matches the Rfam family "Bacterial small subunit ribosomal RNA", at positions 28 to 507 of the family's 1533-position model. The record is from RNAcentral.
GACGAACGCUGGCGGCGUGCUUAACACAUGCAAGUCGAACGGAAAGGCCCUGCUUGCAGGGUACUCGAGUGGCGAACGGGUGAGUAACACGUGGGUGAUCUGCCCUGCACUUCGGGAUAAGCUUGGGAAACUGGGUCUGAUACCGGAUAGGAGCCAUCUUUAGUGUGGUGGUUGGAAAGUUUUUUCGGUGUAGGAUGAGCUCGCGGCCUAUCAGCUUGUUGGUGGGGUAAUGGCCUACCAAGGCGGCGACGGGUAGCCGGCCUGAGAGGGUGUACGGCCACAUUGGGACUGAGAUACGGCCCAGACUCCUACGGGAGGCAGCAGUGGGGAAUAUUGCACAAUGGGCGCAAGCCUGAUGCAGCGACGCCGCGUGGGGGAUGAAGGCCUUCGGGUUGUAAACUCCUUUCGCUAGGGACGAAGCUUUUUUGUGACGGUACCUAGAUAAGAAGCACCGGCUAACUACGUG